Molecule: ribosomal RNA, 253 nt
Filed under: uncultured bacterium
Lineage: Bacteria
Description: partial 16S ribosomal RNA
Rfam family: Bacterial small subunit ribosomal RNA
Source: RNAcentral
UACGUAGGGCGCAAGCGUUGUCCGGAAUUAUUGGGCGUAAAGAGCUCGUAGGCGGUCUGUCGCGUCUGCCGUGAAAACCCGAGGCUUAACCUCGGGCCUGCGGUGGAUACGGGCAGACUAGAGGUAGGUAGGGGAGAAUGGAAUUCCCGGUGUAGCGGUGAAAUGCGCAGAUAUCGGGAGGAACACCGGUGGCGAAGGCGGUUCUCUGGGCCUUACCUGACGCUGAGGAGCGAAAGCGUGGGGAGCGAACAGG